Eriocheir sinensis (Chinese mitten crab) is the source of this 1698-nucleotide long non-coding RNA. RefSeq lists it as uncharacterized. NCBI's taxonomy places the organism in Eukaryota, Metazoa, Arthropoda, Malacostraca, Decapoda, Varunidae. The transcript has 5 exons. The record is from RefSeq and is a predicted model, not a curated record.
AAGAGGAGAAGGCUGUGAAAGUCGCGGAGGAUAUGAAGAAAUAGCGAAGUAGGAAAGUGCCAUCAGAGUGAAGUCGCUCAGUCAGUCACAGUUGCCAGAUUAUCGUACUCAGAGCCGUGUAUUUACCGGUUUCUGGCCCAUAACCGUUGCCAAGAAGCAUCAAUCCUUAACCAUUUAAACGAUAACCAUACAUGAAGGCAGUUAUUUGGGUGAUGAAAGCAGUUUUUGGGUCGGAAAUCGGCAAACAUAAGAGGCAGAGUACGACAAUCUGGCAACGUUGCAGUCAGUGGUUCGAAGCAUGAGUCGAGUGGUGACGAGCUGCGGGGAAGUUCAGUAGGUGCAUGGCGCCCGGCGAGAGUGGUGACCGGCUGGGCUGCAUUAGUGUCGUCGAGGGUCAAGGAUUGUGAUCAGUGAGGACCCAGCAGAGCAUCCAGGAGCCGGACAAGCAAUUAUUAAGGAUCAGUAAAGGACGCCAUUCAAGAGCAGCAAUGACAGAAAACAAAAGCACCUGCUCAGCGCUGUUCCAGCAAUAAGAUGAUAGAGUGUCCAAGAGAGGGUCGACUUCAGAAGGAAUAUCAGCAUUAAGAGUACACUUGCAAUGCCAACCAGCCUGGUAUCAUGUGACAAGGGCUACAGUGAAGGGCAGAACUAAGCAAUACACAAAGGGCUGCAGCAUCUCAAGCAGUAUGCAAAGCCCAGUUUGCUAGUGGAGGUUUGGCUGGAUUGUUCGGUCUUCCUUGUUGGAGUUCUUGACAAACUCCUUCAGCAUCGUCAUCACCUCGUUGUCAAACUCUUGAGGGGUCGGCUGCACACCUGUGGGAUAUUGUUAGUUUCAGGCUAAAUCUCUUGAGGAUCUUGGAGCAGGCUGGAGCCUCAGAGGUGUUUGCGCAUGGCCCAAUAACGUGUGGAUACACCCUGACACUUCAAUCCAAUCUGGAUGAGAGGGGCUCGUAGCCAUGGUAGACAAUCCACCCGGGAGAGGGAAAACUGUUGACUACAAACCCGGGCAGGUGAAGUUUUUUUUCUUUUAACGUCCCUGCCUGUGGCCCUGGUAGGCUUUCUUGGUGGUGUCUGGUGCGGUGCCAGCCCCAGCCUGUUAUGGUGCAGGCAAAUGUUUAUAGUGGUGUCUUGAUAGGCAAUUCACCUAGGCCCUCACCUGAAAACUGUCUGACAGGAAGGGUAUCCUGAGACAAAAUCAUGCCCCAAACCAAGAUGAACAAUGACAACAUUACUGAUCUGUCCAACCCCAAAGGGAAAUAUGAGGCCAUGAAGAGAAGAAAACUAUUCAUAACUGUUAUGUUUACAAACUGCACUGCCCCACCUGCACAACCUCCCAAAUGAUGACUUGGCAGGACCUUUAGCUAACACCGCUGUCUUGUUACAACUUAUCAGCUUUGUUAUGUUACAAUGUACAAGAUUGCGUGGUUAAUGGAACUUUUCCAAUAUAUCGAAUCCUCAGGCUGUUGUGACAAACCAUUCAUUCCUCCCAGUCAAUAGAAAUAUUUUCACUAGCUCCACAGUUUUGGUUGUUAGUUAUGAAACUCAGGAAUGUUUCUAUCAAUCGCUAGACUUGAGAAAUCUCUAGUUGGAAAAACCAUGUUUCUAUCAAUCACUAGACUUGAGAAAUCUCAAGUUAGAAAAACGCUAGUGGCAGGGCCCCAUUGUAUAGCAAAAUAAAUAAACAUUACUCACUAUGCA